Molecule: non-coding RNA, 72 nt
Organism: Elaeis guineensis (African oil palm)
Lineage: Eukaryota; Viridiplantae; Streptophyta; Magnoliopsida; Arecales; Arecaceae
Source: the annotation of a RefSeq genome assembly
GAUUCCAUGGUCUAGUGGUAAGGACCCCAGACUCUGAAUCUGGUAGCCCGAGUUCAAGUCUCGAUGGAACCU